AUUGAACGCUGGCGGCAGGCCUAACACAUGCAAGUCGAGCGGAUGAAGGGAGCUUGCUCCUGGAUUCAGCGGCGGACGGGUGAGUAAUGCCUAGGAAUCUGCCUGGUAGUGUGGGAUAACGUCCGGAAACGGGCGCUAAUACCGCAUACGUCCUGAGGGAGAAAGUGGGGGAUCUUCGGACCUCACGCUAUCAGAUGAGCCUAGGUCGGAUUAGCUGGUUGGUGGGGUAAAGGCCUACCAAGGCGACGAUCCGUAACUGGUCUGAGAGGAUGAUCAGUCACACUGGAACUGAGACACGGUCCAGACUCCUACGGGAGGCAGCAGUGGGGAAUAUUGGACAAUGGGCGAAAGCCUGAUCCAGCCAUGCCGCGUGUGUGAAGAAGGUCUUCGGAUUGUAAAGCACUUUAAGUUGGGAGGAAGGGCAGUAAGUUAAUACCUUGCUGUUUUGACGUUACCAACAGAAUAAGCACCGGCUAACUUCGUG
This 484-nucleotide ribosomal RNA is filed under the name uncultured bacterium. RNAcentral's name for it is "partial 16S ribosomal RNA". It matches the Rfam family "Bacterial small subunit ribosomal RNA", at positions 30 to 507 of the family's 1533-position model. The record is from RNAcentral.